AUGCGAUACUUGGUGUGAAUUGCAGAAUCCCGUGAACCAUCGAGUCUUUGAACGCAAGUUGCGCCCGAAGCCUUCGGGCCGAGGGCACGCC
RNAcentral lists this ribosomal RNA (91 nucleotides) under Megaskepasma erythrochlamys. Its description in RNAcentral is "partial 5.8S ribosomal RNA". It matches the Rfam family "5.8S ribosomal RNA", at positions 53 to 141 of the family's 154-position model. Rfam says of the family: 5.8S ribosomal RNA (5.8S rRNA) is a component of the large subunit of the eukaryotic ribosome. It is transcribed by RNA polymerase I as part of the 45S precursor that also contains 18S and 28S rRNA. The record is from RNAcentral. Lineage: Eukaryota; Viridiplantae; Streptophyta; Magnoliopsida; Lamiales; Acanthaceae.